AUUGAACGCUGGCGGCAUGCCUUACACAUGCAAGUCGAACGGCAGCACGGGUGCUUGCACCUGGUGGCGAGUGGCGAACGGGUGAGUAAUACAUCGGAACGUACCUUAUCGUGGGGGAUAACGCAGCGAAAGCUGUGCUAAUACCGCAUACGCCCUGAGGGGGAAAGCGGGGGAUCGCAAGACCUCGCGCGAUUAGAGCGGCCGAUGCCUGAUUAGCUAGUUGGUGGGGUAAAAGCCCACCAAGGCGACGAUCAGUAGCUGGUCUGAGAGGACGAUCAGCCACACUGGGACUGAGACACGGCCCAGACUCCUACGGGAGGCAGCAGUGGGGAAUUUUGGACAAUGGGGGCAACCCUGAUCCAGCAAUGCCGCGUGAGUGAAGAAGGCCUUCGGGUUGUAAAGCUCUUUUGUCAGGGAAGAAACACCGGCUCUAACACAGUUCGGGAAUGACGGUACCUGAAGAAUAAGCACCGGCUAACUACGUA
RNAcentral lists this ribosomal RNA (485 nucleotides) under uncultured bacterium. Its description in RNAcentral is "bacterial SSU rRNA". It matches the Rfam family "Bacterial small subunit ribosomal RNA", at positions 30 to 507 of the family's 1533-position model. The record is from RNAcentral.